GUGGCAGAUAUUUGUGUCUAUAGCACAUUUUUUGUUUAGGUUUUCAAUAUAUCAGAAACUGUUUCUGCAUAUUGGUUAUUGAUUUAGACACGUUAAAACUGUGUUUUGACGUUGGGCUAUCCCACCUAGCAAAAUGUAAUUGAAAAGACGUUGAAAAUAAGACUAUGCAAUCAAAUAUUUCAUAUUUACAUUUCAUGAAACAUUUAGUAUUCAUAAUUAUUUAUACAACCAGCUGACCAUUUUUUGGGACAAUUAUAUUGACGUUGUUGCCCUGCUUUUAUAAUAGCAGGGUUAAUUCUCAGAUGUGCCAACCCAAAUGUACUAGCGCAUGACAUCCAACAACAUGCCUAUCUAGUGAACCCUGAAAAGAGAGAAGCUCUGCAGUGAGAUGGAAAGUUACUACGGAUAUUGCAGGAGUUUCCUCUUGAUAUCAGUCAUGUCCGUGGUAAGGACAACUUGGUUGCUGAUUGCCUCAAGGGUGGGCAGUCAAAAAGUUUAGUGUUUUGCGUUUAGCCAGUGAGUUGCCAUGGAUCACAAUUUAUUUUGACUGCACGUUUUUCCUGUAUUGGAGAUGAGUUUUGUUUGGGCUCGUUCCAAGGGGACGAGAGUUCUAGAAGCUAGUGUGUUUUAGGAAGAAGGGCAAAAAAUACUGUACAUACAUUUUAGUUAGAUGAGAGUUCUAGACGAUAAGAGUUUUUUUUGCCCUAUUUUUAGUUGUUGACAGCCAGUAGACACCAUGUUUAUAUUGGUGAAGCAUUGUAGUUGAUUAUAAUGUGAAAUAGAAAUUGUUUUCUGUUGGUGGUGAGCAAACUUGUGCAAAAAAAUAUAGCAUAUAUUUGUUGUCUUAAGGGGAAGGUGUUACAGGCUUUGGUUUUUCCAUUUAUGUUUUGAGGUUGGACUCGUCCAUAUAGCUCGUUAGCAAGUAUAGCUCGUUAGCACGUAGGACGCACUGAUUGGUGUCACCUCGUUAGUCAGUAUGUGUUACACCUGUGCUGGCUUGUCCAUCUCAUUGGUGGGAAGGUAUUUCACCUGAGCUGGUCCAGGUUCUAUUUAAGAGUGUCUGGCCCAGUGCUCUAGUUGUCUUGAUAGAUGUGGAGAGUCAACACUAGUUGCGCUACCUUUUUGGUUUGCUUUCUGUCUUUAAGUUUGGUGUGGGUUUUUCUUUUGUUUUCCUCUUCUUGGGCAGUUUUAGUGGGUCUCAUGGUGGGUGUCUUUUAGGUUCCCAGUUGUUGUUACGAGUCAACUUUCAGUGGACACCCCCAUAGUGUCUUUCAGAACCCCUUCUAAAACCCCACAUGUUUAGUUGUGGUUUUUGUCAGUGACUCUUUGUUAGUUCCCUCUUCUAUUUAAGUGACAUUUCUGGUGUUCUUGUUAGAUAUUACUUAACUGUCCGGAGCUAGAAAUAGAAGCAUUUCACUACACCUGCAAUAACAUCUGCUAAACACGUGUAUGUGACCAAUAAAAUGUGACUUUGAUUGUAAAUAAACGUCCUAUUUAUCAAAGAUGCUGUUGACUGGGGUCAAAAUUACUCCAAAGGAUUUGAAUUUGUUAAAAGUCCAUUUUGAUACAGAAACUCUACUCCAUGAUUUAGAUUUAUUAAGAACAAGUUGAUUGACAAAGUCAUGAAGAAUUGAUUAAACCACAUUUUGGCUAUGAUAAAAGAUAUGCCUCUGGGGUCAAAAUGAUCCAUGUCAGAAGUAUGGUUCAAUGCAAAUGUGUAGUGGGUGUAACGUUUGUUUUAAACUCUCACUCAUUAAACACGAAUCAAUCAA
Long non-coding RNA from Salvelinus fontinalis (brook trout), 1772 nucleotides. RefSeq lists it as uncharacterized. The record is from RefSeq and is a predicted model, not a curated record. NCBI's taxonomy places the organism in Eukaryota, Metazoa, Chordata, Actinopteri, Salmoniformes, Salmonidae. The transcript is spliced from 2 exons.